CAGAGGCAUGAGCCACCGUGCCCACCCACCUCAUUAACCUUUUAACAACAGCAGUACUACAUUCGUUUACAUUACCUUUUUUUUUCCGUAACAAAUUUUUUGGCUGGGCGCGGUGGCUCACGCCUGUAAUCCAAGCACUUUGGAGGCCGAGGCGGGCGGAUCACCUGAGGUCAGGAGUUCAAGACCAGCCUGCCCAACACAGUGCAACCCUGUCACUACUA
Molecule: long non-coding RNA, 221 nt
Organism: Cebus imitator (Panamanian white-faced capuchin)
Lineage: Eukaryota; Metazoa; Chordata; Mammalia; Primates; Cebidae
Exons: 2
Source: RefSeq, a predicted model, not a curated record